GCAGGCGUGGCGGAAUGGCAGACGCGCCGGUCUUAGGAACCGGUGUCAGCGACGUGCAGGUUCAAGUCCUGUCGCCUGCACCA
This 83-nucleotide transfer RNA is filed under the name Oscillospiraceae bacterium. RNAcentral describes it as "tRNA-Leu". It matches the Rfam family "tRNA". Rfam says of the family: Transfer RNA (tRNA) molecules are approximately 80 nucleotides in length. Their secondary structure includes four short double-helical elements and three loops (D, anti-codon, and T loops). The record is from RNAcentral. Lineage: Bacteria; Bacillati; Bacillota; Clostridia; Eubacteriales; Oscillospiraceae.